This 403-nucleotide ribosomal RNA is filed under the name uncultured bacterium. RNAcentral's name for it is "partial 16S ribosomal RNA". It matches the Rfam family "Bacterial small subunit ribosomal RNA", at positions 28 to 526 of the family's 1533-position model. The record is from RNAcentral.
GACGAACGCUGGCGGCGUGCCUAAUACAUGCAAGUCGAACGCAGUGGGGACGGGUGAGUAACACGUGGGUAACCUCCCAUCAGAGGGGAUAACACUUGGAAACAGGUGCUAAACCGAUAUUGAUGGAUGGACCCGCGGUGCAUUAGCUAGUUGGGGAGGUAACGGCUCACCAAGGCCACGAUGCAUAGCCGACCGUAGCGGGUGAUCUGCCACCUUGGGACUUGGCCACGGCCCAUACUCCUCCGGGAGGCAGCAGUGGGGAAGCUUCUGCAUUUGACGAAAUUCUGCACGAGCAACGCCGCGGUAGUGUAGAUGGUUUUCGGAUUGUAAAACUCUGUUGUUAGAGCAGCGGUAUCUAACCAGAAAGCCACGGCUAACUACGUGCCAGCCGCCGCGGUAAUUC